CAGUAGCCGCGGUAAUACGUAGGGCGCGAGCGUUAAUCGGAAUUACUGGGCGUAAAGCGUGCGCAGGCGGUUCGUUAAGACAGAUGUGAAAUCCCCGGGCUUAACCUGGGAACUGCAUUUGUGACUGACGGGCUAGAGUAUGGCAGAGGGGGGUAGAAUUCCACGUGUAGCAGUGAAAUGCGUAGAGAUGUGGAGGAAUACCGAUGGCGAAGGCAGCCCCCUGGGCCAAUACUGACGCUCAUGCACGAAAGCGUGGGGAGCAAACAGGAUUAGAUACCCCUGUAGUCCCUGUCUCUUAUAC
This 301-nucleotide ribosomal RNA is filed under the name uncultured bacterium. Its description in RNAcentral is "partial 16S ribosomal RNA". It matches the Rfam family "Bacterial small subunit ribosomal RNA", at positions 509 to 807 of the family's 1533-position model. The record is from RNAcentral.